GUGCCCGUAGCUCAGCCGGAUAGAGCAGCUGCCUUCUAAGCAGCCGGUCGCUGGUUCGAAUCCAGCCGGGCACGCCA
Molecule: transfer RNA, 77 nt
Filed under: Planctomycetota bacterium
Lineage: Bacteria; Pseudomonadati; Planctomycetota
Description: Planctomycetes bacterium (activated sludge metagenome) tRNA-Arg
Rfam family: tRNA
About the family: Transfer RNA (tRNA) molecules are approximately 80 nucleotides in length. Their secondary structure includes four short double-helical elements and three loops (D, anti-codon, and T loops).
Source: RNAcentral